Molecule: ribosomal RNA, 1195 nt
Filed under: uncultured Prevotella sp.
Lineage: Bacteria; Pseudomonadati; Bacteroidota; Bacteroidia; Bacteroidales; Prevotellaceae
Description: bacterial SSU rRNA
Rfam family: Bacterial small subunit ribosomal RNA
Source: RNAcentral
AGAGUUUGAUCCUGGCUCAGGAUGAACGCUAGCUACAGGCUUAACACAUGCAAGUCGUGGGGCAGCGGAUGCUUAGCUUGCUAAGUAUGCCGGCGACCGGCGCACGGGUGAGUAACGCGUACCGAACCUGCCCAUCACACAGGGAUAGGCUUGCGAAAGCAAGAUUAAUACCUGAUGGUCUCAAUUUUAUGCAUGUAUGAUUGAGUAAAGCCUUCGGGCGGUGAUGGAUGGCGGUGCGUCCCAUUAGGAAGUUGGCGGGGUAACGGCCCACCAAUCCUUCGAUGGGUAGGGGUUCUGAGAGGAAGGUCCCCCACAUUGGAACUGAGAUACGGUCCAAACUCCUACGGGAGGCAGCAGUGAGGAAUAUUGGUCAAUGGGCGAGAGCCUGAACCAGCCAAGUAGCGUGCGGGAUGAAGGCCCUUGUGGUCGUAAACCGCUUUUAUCAGUGAAUAAAGUGCAUCACGUGUGGUGUCAUUGCAGGUAGCUGAAGAAAAAGGACCGGCUAAUUCCGUGCCAGCAGCCGCGGUAAUACGGAAGGUCCGGGCGUUAUCCGGAAUUAUUGGGUUUAAAGGGAGCGCAGGCGGGAGUAUAAGUCAGCUGUUAAAUAUCAGAGCCCAACUCUGUUAUGCAGUUGAAACUAUAUUUCUUGAGUACGCACAGGGAUGGUGGAAUUCAGGGUGUAGCGGUGAAAUGCUUAGAUAUCCUGAAGAACUCCGAUCGCGAAGGCAGCCAUCCGGAGCGUAACUGACGCUGAGGCUCGAAGGUGCGGGUAUCGAACAGGAUUAGAUACCCUGGUAGUCCGCACGGUAAACGAUGAAUACUCGCAGUUCGGCCGUUUAGGUCGAGUUGUCCAGCGAAAGCGUUAAGUAUUCCACCUGGGGAGUACGCCGGCAACGGUGAAACUCAAAGGAAUUGACGGGGGCCCGCACAAGCGGAGGAACAUGUGGUUUAAUUCGAUGAUACGCGAGGAACCUUACCCGGGCUUGAACCAAGAGUGACGAGUGCAGAGAUGCACUUUUUCUUCGGACACUUUUGGAGGUGCUGCAUGGUUGUCGUCAGCUCGUGCCGUGAGGUGUCGGCUUAAGUGCCAUAACGAGCGCAACCCCUUUCCUUAGUUGCCAUCAGGUCAUGCUGGGCACUCUGGGGACACUGCCACCGCAAGGUGUGAGGAAGGUGGGGAUGACGUCAAAUCAGC